RNAcentral lists this ribosomal RNA (551 nucleotides) under Thermoascus crustaceus. RNAcentral describes it as "eukaryotic LSU rRNA". The stretch from base 191 to 344 matches the Rfam family "5.8S ribosomal RNA". The record is from RNAcentral. Lineage: Eukaryota; Fungi; Ascomycota; Eurotiomycetes; Eurotiales; Thermoascaceae.
GAAGGAUCAUUACCGAGUGCGGGAACCCAGUCGGGUCCCAAUCUCCCACCCGUGUCUACCGUACCGUGUUGCUUCGGCGGGCCCGCCGCAAGGCCGCCGGGGGGGCGUCCCCCCGGCCCGUGCCCGCCGGAGACCCUGUGAACGCUGAUCUGUGAAGGCGUGUCGUCUGAGUCGCGUGAGAAAUCGUGAAAACUUUCAACAACGGAUCUCUUGGUUCCGGCAUCGAUGAAGAACGCAGCGAAAUGCGAUAAGUAAUGUGAAUUGCAGAAUUCCGUGAAUCAUCGAAUCUUUGAACGCACAUUGCGCCCUCUGGUAUUCCGGGGGGCAUGCCUGUCCGAGCGUCAUUGCUGCCCUCAAGCACGGCUUGUGUGUUGGGCCGCCGUCCCCGCCCUCCGCGGGGGGACGGGCCCGAAAGGCAGCGGCGGCGCCGCGUCCGGUCCUCGAGCGUAUGGGGCUCUGUCACCCGCUCUGCAGGCCCGGCCGGCGCCCGCCGAGUCAACCACUUCUUUCCAGGUUGACCUCGGAUCAGGUAGGGAUACCCGCUGAACUUA